GUCUGUGUUUUUUCUAAUAACUAUUGUUACAGGAUAAAUCGAAAUGAUAGCAUGGAUGAAACACACCAGCCAAAAAGUGUAUACGUGGUGUGUAUUCAGUCCUAGUCUAUGAAGGAAUCAAACUUUGUACAGGAACUUUUUUGAUUCCAAAUCUAGCUGUUAUUCCACACCUUAUUUCCAGCUCGUGCCCUCAAACCUGAUGUAAUAACCUCGGAUGUUCACGUUGUUAAAAGAGAAACAACACAAUAACUCCUCUUUUUCCUCAAUACACUUGUGUUGUGAAGAGCACAGAACACACACAGCAUCACACCUCCUCUCCCCUGCUCACAUGCUCCCCUGGUGUCUUGUUAAUGCAGCUCAGGCGCACUCUUAGGCACUAUAUCCUCCUUUCUCUCACUUACUGUAUCUUUUCUUAUGGCACACGCACGCUCAAAGUGUAGAAGUUAAAAUGGCUUCAGUCUGCAGUGCAGGAGGAGUCGGUAAUGCUGCUGUGACUCGCCGACAUCAGAGGAUACCCAUUGGCCUGCCAAAGCUGAUCUGUGCAUUUAAGCGGCAAGGUGGCCUGUAAAUCAACAUGGGAUUUGGGAAGACAGCAAGACGCCACUGAUGUGUUGCAUUAUUCCCCCGCUUGGCUGCUGAUUUGUGCUCGGCACACAAAUUUCCCCAGAGGAUGAGCUGAGGUACCUGCAGCCUGGAACAGGAGGGCAAACGCUGCUUAUUGGUUAUGUUUGAUUUGUUGUGCAUUUCAUUUUGCUACAAGUACUCCCAAGCACAGAAAUAAGGAAAUCUUCUAAGACAAAGAAGAUGAAAAGCCUGCGUCAAUCAAAGUUCGGCUUCAGAAGAGAAGAAACUUGAGACCAGACGAGGCACUGCGAGAAAAAGAAAUAAAAGCUGAUGAUGAAGAUGAAAGAGGAAGAUCAGACUGCAGUCCUUCCACUGAAUGUUGAGUUCCUUUUCCAUAUGACCAACUUUUGUUGGAUGUUUCUUCAUCUUCCCUGCUCCAUCAUGCUGUGCUGUGUGUCUGAGGUUGGUGUUGAAACAGUUUCUGACACGAGAAAGUAAAGGCAUGAAUUACUCUCCCUGGAUCUGACUCACCAGAUGUAGGCUGCAGGCUGUUUUUUCUUGAGGAUUCUCUUCAACGGGACUUCAUCCAUCUGCCACAGUGUUGAUGCCCAUCCACGUCCAUAUCUCCGUCUCCAUCAUGCAGGGACCUACCGUCACCUCAGACAUUCAUUAUAAGAGGAGGUAGGGUUUUCCUGAGUGCCCUCCACAUUUUUUGCUUUGCUUUUUUGCCCAGGAGUUUGGGUUCGAUUUGCCUGGCCGGCCAGUUGUGGGUGCCAAAGACAUUUCUAUCUUUGAAACUGUUAGGACUCAGUAGUAGUUAUUGUGAACUGACACUGGAUCCAAUGUUUUGGUGGUUUCAACUUGAGCUCAUUUUUAUACGUGGGUUCAAGAUACUUUUUUCCUAAAAAAUUACAAUCUGUUGUCAUUGUGUGUUUUUGGGUUGACUAUAUUCUUAUCAAAACUCCCUCCCAAACCUGAGUUACACCUUAAGGUGUUAGAACUGAAAGGGAGGGUUACAGAGUGACGAUGUAGAAAUAACUAAAUUAAAACUCGGAUGAGAAACACCUCCCUCCACAUCAGCAGCUAUCCUGUCAGAAUGCCCUUGAGCAAAGUAGAAAAGCCUUAAACUGCUCCAGUGGAGCUGUUCAGUCAGUGUUCAACAGACCGUGGGUUUAUUACACGUCAUCCUGGCGUGAAUUUGUCUAACGGUGACUGAGCCUGAUCACAUGAGUGUUAAAAAGACAUCCAGGCUCAGUCAACUUUCCCUGGAGAAACAAGAUAAGACAAAUAAACUUUAUUGAUCCCUGAGGGGGAUGAGACUCGCUGCAACGGUGCAGAAUGGAGAUGUCAGUUCAUGGGGAAAAGAUCAAAAGAUAGUAAGAAAUACGAAUGAAAAGUCAAGGGAGGGUAUAAAUAAAGAUUGCGAUAAAACAGAAAAAUAUUAAAGAUCUUUCUGGUUUUUAAUACCUCCUGGGAAAUAGCUGGAUGUAAUUGGAUGAUGUCAUGUUUCACUGACUGUGACUACAAAGAGUGGGUUCACAUGAGGAGACAGACUGUAACUCUGCAGUAGCAGGACUUCACUUUUCCCUGCAGGAUACUGAGCCAGUCUUGGCUGACACUGGUCAACAGAACAUAUCAUUUAGCCCUGAGGCGCUGACUUCUGCCAGCAGAGCCACGGGAACAGCGCUUUAUAUUGGGCAAAAGAAAUGUCCGUGUUUCCCAAGUGGAUUUUUUUUAAGCUGGAUCACGAGAAGAAGGCCUUAGAGUUCCUUACUGGUCACUGAAGAAAUGUCUAAAAUGCCAUCUGUGUAUUAAAGUUACAUAUUUAGAAGGGUUUUUUUCUGUUUCUGUUGUCUCUCUGCUUAAGUGCUGUAAAACUACUCAUGUUCAAACAAAAACUAAAUAUAUAAAGAAUAGUGAUACACGGCAUGUCCCACCCUGCAAGCUGACAGUACUUGUUCCUUUUUUGUUGACGUGCGUUUCUGAGACUGUCAUUAGUACACUGCUGUGGUCCAGCUGCAGGCGGAACUUCUAAAAUCUUUAACAAUGAUUGCAAUGCGGUUCACAGAGGGGGGAAAAAGAAACUCUAAAAAUGGUAAUGUCCUCUAAAAGUCAAAAAUGUCUUUCGGUUUUAAAUACAAUAUGUUCAUUAGGAGCAAGGAUCAGUGCAAUAUUCAAGAGUAGUGUAAAGCAAUAACGCAUUAUGAAACUAAGAUGGUAGAAAAGCCAUUUUUCAAAAUAUCUGGAUCCUUGAGUGAUGACAGAUUCCUGAAUGUGAAUAGCAGAAUUUUGUCAUACUUUCAUAAUUAAUGAAACUUAGUUGCUUUCAUCUGUAACUGGUGUCUAAACUAACUCAGCUAGAGUGAAGAAAUUCAAUUCAGUCAGAAUCUGAAAUACUUUAUUGAUCCCCGAGUGGAAAUUACUUAUGUUAAAGUUUCUCCCAUGGGUCCUUGUUUUCAGUGAAGAUAACAUUAAAUUCAUUAUAAAUCCAGUCUAGACAUUGUAAAUGUGGUAAAUGACUAUUCUAGCUGUAAACGGCUGAUUUUUAAUGGAAUGUCUCCAUAGGGGUACAGAGGAACAUUUCCAGCAACCAUCACUCCUGUGUUCUAAUUAGGGCUGGACCCGAAUAUCCGAAUAUUCGUUCUCUACGGCGGUAUCCGGAUAUUAAUUUUGGUAUCCUAGCCCUAGUUCUAAUGCUACAUUGUGUUAGCUAAUAGUGCUGAAAGGCUCAUUGAUGAUUAGAAAGUCCUUGUGGAAUUAUGUUGGCUCAUGAAUAAAAGUCUCUGGGUGACCCCAAACUUUUGAACAGUAGUGUAAGUAUGCAGUGUAAUAAAUAGCGUGUUAUUGCACAGAGAUACAUAGUUUUUGCCCAUAAUUAAGUAUUAACCCAAGAAGAGAGAAGUGAAAAGUUAGUCAGCUGUUGCAGUGGAACAUAAUGAGUUCAGUCUGACUGUUGGCUCAGAAUAUCUGAACCUCUCAGUGAGGAAUUUGAUGGCCACAGUCAGGAAUGGUUUCCUGUGGUACAUCUUGGUGGGAUGACUCUAUUACUGGAUAAGCUCCUGUGGCAUUUUAAACUACCUUGAAUUGCCUUUUGUAUGAAUUGUGCUAUACAAAUAAACUUGCCUUACCUUGCCUACAUAAAGGAUGGCACUGACUGGACCUCAGCAGGUCUGGAAGACCUACAGCUCCAUCUACAUCAGCUCUCAGGAUGCUCUGAUCGCUCUCUACCCGCAGUUCUACAACAACGAGAAGAACGUCUACGUCCAAGUAUGUCUUGUAAAUCCUGAUCAAUACUCAUCAGUCAAUUUGCUUUUUUAUUUAGCGACUGAACUUUCAGCUUGUUCUGGAACCUUGUAGAAUCUGUACCUAUUUUUUAUUUCUUGCUCGUCCUUUUGAGGGCGCCAGAGUUCCUUACCCAGUCCACUUUACUGUCAGUGUCGACCCCCAGAUACAUUUUUAGGCGUUUUUAGAUGUUUGCAGUCCUCAGUAAUGACGUCUUUAGCAGCUGUUCUUCCUUUUAAGUCUUGUUCCUUCAGUUGUCUGCUUGUGGUCUUUCUGGAGACUUUCUCAGAUUCUGAUCUAGACGCAUUAAUCUCUGCCUGAAGAUCAGCAGUGGUCUUCCUUCUGCCUCUACAACUUCAAAUCUUGAGGUGCCUGACAUCUGCUUCUUUUAGCUUUCUUUUUCUGUCUCUUCCUUGGCACAUUUUGUAAGCACCAGUCUCUGCAGUCGAGCCUGACCACACUGUGAAAAGACCUUAUGUCUUGCCCUAUUUGUCUCAAAAACUAUCGACUGUCAUAAAAUGCUUUAAUUCAGACUCCGCCUUUCUCAGUGAGUUCCCUACGCUUCACCAUUUUGAACAGGAGUGACUAUUUUCAAACUGAUUUUUCUACGCAAAUUUGAGCCAGAACACUCGAAUUUCUGAGAAGUCAGAAAUUAAUCAAAAAACAAGCAGUAAAAUGAAUUUAUCUGUUCAGGAAUCCCAGCAAAUAGCUGUAAUUUGACAUCUCAGUCAAAAAAUAAUCAUGUGUUUUAAUUUUUUUCUGCUUUUUUGUAAAACGGUACAUUUGAAAA
Long non-coding RNA from Acanthochromis polyacanthus (spiny chromis), 4636 nucleotides. RefSeq lists it as uncharacterized. Lineage: Eukaryota; Metazoa; Chordata; Actinopteri; Pomacentridae. The record is from RefSeq and is a predicted model, not a curated record. The transcript has 5 exons.